RNA transcript from Nycticebus coucang (slow loris), 2971 nucleotides. It is a transcript of the gene named eukaryotic translation initiation factor 4 gamma 2-like, with no coding region annotated. Lineage: Eukaryota; Metazoa; Chordata; Mammalia; Primates; Lorisidae. The record is from RefSeq and is a predicted model, not a curated record. The transcript is spliced from 2 exons.
AUGUUGCCUGAAAGUGCAAAAAAGCUUGCAUCCUUGAACACCCAGGAAUUUCCAGGUUUUUCAUUUCUUCCAUACCCUCCCCUCCCCACCCCAUCCAUUAAUAUUAUUCUGAAGAUUCUUCAUUGUCAAGCUGCCAAAGUGGAGAGUGUGAUUGCAGAAGGGGUGCUUCUUGUUUCAGUGCUUCUUCGGGUGGAGGAGGAAGUAGGAGUGCACCUCAGCGCUAUCCCAAGACUGCUGGCAAUAGCGAGUUCCUGGGGAAAACCCCAGGGCAAAUCGCUCAGAAAUGGAUUCCUGUAUGAAGCACUAGACGAGAUGACAACUCCACAGCAAACAACUCCGCAAAUGAAAAAGAACGACAUGAUGAAAACCUCAGGAAAGUAAGAGGCAUACUAAAUAAGCUUACUCCUGAAAAGUUUGACAAGCUAUGCCUUGAGCUCCUCAGUGUGGGUAUACAGUCUAAACUCAUCCUUAAAGAGGUCAUACUGCUGAUUGUGGACAAAGCCCUAGAAGAGCCAACGUAUAGCUCAUUGUAUGCUCAGCUAUGUCUGCGAUUGGCAGAAGAUGCACCAAGAUUUGAUGGCCCAGCAGCAGAGGGUCAACCAGGACAGAAACAAAGCAUAACAUUCAGACGCCUCCUAAUUUCCAAACUACAAGAUGAAUUUGAAAAACGAACCAGAAAUGUUGAUGUCUAUGAUAAGCGUGAAAAUCCCUUCCUCCCCCAGGAGGAGGAACAGAGAGCCAUUGCUAAGAUCAAGAUGUUGGGGAACAUCAAAUUCAUUGGAGAACUUAGCAAGCUUGAUCUUAUUCAUGAAUCUAUCCUUCAUAAGUGCAUCAAAACACUUUUGGAAAGGAAGAAGAGAGUCCAACUCAAAGAUAUGGGAGAGGAUUUAGAGUGCCUCCGUCAGAUAAUGAGGACCAUGGGGCCUAGAUUAGACCAUGAACGAACCAAGUCCUUAAUGGAUCAGUACUUUGCCCGAAUGUGCUCCUUGAUGUUAAGUAAGGAAUUGCCAGCAAGGAUUCAUUUCCUGCUGCAGGAUACCGUAGAGUUGUGAGAACACCAUUGGGUUCCUCGCAAGGCUUUUCUUGACAAUGGACCAAAGACGAUCAAUCAAAUCCAUCAAGAUGAAGUCAAAGAUCUAGGAGUGUUUAUUUCUGCUCCUAUGGCUCAAGGGAUGAGAAGUGACUUCUUUCUGGAGGGACCAUUUAUGCCACUCAGGAUGAAAAUGGAUAGGGAUCCACUGGGAGGACUUGCUGACAUGUUUGGACAAAUGCCAGGUAGCGGGAUUGGUACUGGUCCAGGAGUUAUCCAGGAUAGAUUUUCACCCACCAUGGGACGUCAUUGUUCAAAUCAACUGUUCAAUGGCCAUGGGGGACACAUAAUGCCUCCUGCACAAUAGCAGUUCGGACAGAUAGGAGGCAAGUUUAUGAAAAGCCAGGGGCUAAGCUCUACCAUAACCAGAGUCAGGGACUCUUAUCCCAGCUGCAAGGACAGUCGAAGGAUAUGCCACCUCGGUUUUCUAAGAAAGGACAGCUUAAUGAAGAUGAGAUUAGCCUAAGGCCUACUCAGUCGUUCCUAAUGAAUAAAAAUCAAGUGCCAAAGCUUCAGCCCCAGAUAACUAUGAUUCUUCCUAGUGCACAACUACCACGCAUUCAAACACCACCUCUGGGACACACACCUCACCUUGGUCUCAAAAAUAAUCAACCACUUAUCCAGGAAAAGCCUGCCAAGACCAGCAAAAAGCCACCACCGUCAAAGGAAGAACUACUUAAACUCACAGAAACUGUCAUGACAGAGUAUCUGAAUAGUGGAAAUGCAAAUGAGGCUGUCAAUGGUGUAAGAGAAAUGAGGGCUCCUAAACAUUUCCCACCUGAGAUGUUAAGCAAAGUAAUCAUUUUAUCACUUGAUAGAAGUGAUGAAGAUAAAGAAAAAGCAAGUUCUUUGAUCAGUUUACUCAAACAGGAAGGGAUAGCCACAAGUGACAAAUUCAUGCAGGCUUUCCUGAAUGUAUUGGACCAGUGCCCCAAACUGGAGGUUGACAUCGCCUUGGUGAAAUCAUAUUUAGCACAGUUUGCAGCUCGUGCCAUCAUUUCAGAGCUGGUGAGCAUUUCAGAAGUAGCUCAACCACUAGAAAGUGGCACCCAUUUUCCUCUCUUCUUACUUUGUCUUCAGCAGUUGGUUAAAUUACAAGAUUGAGAAUGGUUAACAGAACUUUUUCAACAAAGCAAGGUCAAUAUGCAGAAAAUGCUUCCAGAAAUUGAUCAGAAUAAGGACCGUAUGUUGGAGAUUUUGGAAGGAAGGGGACUGAGUUUCUUAUUCCCACUCCUCAAAUUGGAGAAGGAACUGUUGAAGCAAAUAAAGUUGGAUCCAUCCCCUCAAACCAUACAUAAAUGGAUUAACAUCUCUCCCAAACUUCAUGUAGAUAAAGGAUUUGUGAACAUCUUAAUGACUAGCUUCUUAUAGUAUAUUUCUAGUGAAGUAAACCCACCCAGUGAUGAAACAGAUUCUUCCUCUGCUCCUUCCAAAGAACAGUUAGAGCAGGAAAAACAACUGCUUCUUUCUUUCAAGCCAGUAAUGCAGAAAUUUCUUCAUGCUCAUGUUGAUCUGCAAGUCAGUGUGCCCUGUAUGCUCUUCAGGUGCACUGCUACAACAGCAACUUCCCAAAAGGCAUGUUACUCCGCUUUUUUGUGCACUUCUAUGAUAUGGAAAUUAUUGAAGAAGAAGCUUUCUUGGCUUGGAAAGAAGAUAUAACCCAAGAGUUUCCAGGGAAAGGCAAGGCUUUGUUCCAGGUGAAUCAGUAGCUAACCUGGCUAGAAAAGCCUGAAGAAGAAGAAUCAGAGGAAGAAGCUGACUAAAGAACCAGCCAAAGCCUUAAAUUGUGCAAAACAUACUGUUGCUAUGAUGUAACUGCAUUUGACCUAACCACCGCAAAAAUUCAUUCCGCUGUAAUAUUUUCAUGAUAUUUAAAGCAGA